This is a long non-coding RNA of Bos taurus (domestic cattle), 2610 nucleotides long. NCBI's taxonomy places the organism in Eukaryota, Metazoa, Chordata, Mammalia, Artiodactyla, Bovidae. The record is from Ensembl.
CUUCCUUGGUCAGCUUACACCCUGUUCAUAAUUCACAGGAGUAAACUCCCAGGAGACAGCUGGGAAAAGUAAGGACCUGUCGGUUCACUUGGAGUGGCCAUCUGCCAGACACAGGGCACAUGGCCCAGGCCGGAUAAGCCUCGGCAGCACCACCUGGGAGCUGAGCACUUGCAAGGGCAUUGCCCGUCAUGCCACGUGAGCACGCAGUGGCCACACACGCCCAGCCAGAGGGCUCCGCCUCCAUCGCCAGUCAGUGUGAGGCAGUGCCACCGUAGAUGAGCCCCUUCCAGAUCCUGAGGGCCUUGUGGCUUGGUUUCCUCCCCCUCCAGCACAGCAGCGCUGAGUUAAGAAUUUCUGCUCAUGGGGAACUGUGCACAGUUGGGCCCAGAGUGUGUACUUAUUGGUCAGCCUUUCUAUCAUCCCUCUUGCCAGCUCUCUUUGUUACCAGACUCCAGUUUAGCUGCUCAUCACUCAAGAAUCCAAUACUGAGAGGUGGUCUAGUGGUUCAGAAUCCUCCUGCCAAUGCAGGGGAAUAACAGGUUCGACCCGUGGUCCAGGAAGAUUCUGCAUGCCGUGGGGCGGCUAAGCUCGUGUGCCACAGCUACCGAAGCCUGAGCAUCUAGAGCCCGUGCUCUGCAACGAGAGAAGCCACGGCAGUGAGAAGCCCAUGGACCACAACCGAGAGUAGCCCCUGCUCACUGCAACUAGAAAAACCCGCACAGCAACGAAGACCCGGUGCUGCCGAAAGUCACAACUGCAUUUGUUAAACGUCACGUCAGGGAAUGAGAAUCGCGGAAAGGACUCUGCUUGAGUGGAUGGUGCAGGGGGCUGUGGGGAAGACCCCCGAGCCCCCCAGCCCCUCUGCGUGUGUCUCGCCGUCUCCCUCCCCGGCCCCACCCCCCACCAGCCACGCGGGCACGGGGGCCUCGAUUCCCCCGGACACCGUCUACAGUCCCGUCAGCCAGAAAGGCAACAGCUUCCCACUGUUCGCUGCCAGCUCGAACUUGAGGACCAGGACCGAGGGCGCUGAGCCUCCCCACCCGCCUUACAAUCGUGGUGAAAUAAACAUGACACAGAAUUCACCUUCCUAAACUCAGUGCACAGCUGAGGGACAGUCAGCACACGCACAUGUUGUCCAGCUUCAUCCGCCGGCAUCUCCAGACCUUCCAUCCUCCCAAACCGACACUCUGUCCCCCUGACACACUCGCCCCCCGUCCCCUCCCCCAGUCCCCACCACCCUACUGUCCUUCCCAAUGGAUUUGGUGCCUCUGGGGACCUCGUAGGAGUGGAAUUCUUCAGGAUUUGUCCCUUCCUGCCUGGCUUCUUUCAUUCAGGACAGGGUCCUCCUGGUUCAUCCGUAUCGUAGCCUCUGUACGAAUUCCAAUGCCCAUUACUCAGCCGUAAAAAAGAACGGAUCUGGUCAGCUGUAGUGACGUGGGUGACCCGAGAGCCUGUUACAAAGGUCGAAGUAAGUCAGAAAGAGAAAAACAAGUAUCGUGUGUUAACACACGCAUAUGGAAUCUGGAAAAACCGUGCUGGUGAACCUAUUUGCAGGGGAGGAAAGGAGUGGGGACACAGACAUAAAGAAUGGCUUGGUGGACACAGCAGGAGGAGAAAGAAAGAAGUGAAAGUGAAGUCGCUCAGUCGUGUCCAACUCUUUGCGACCCCAGGGACUGUAGCCUACCACGCUCCUCCUCCAUGGGGUUUUCCAGGCAAGAGUACUGGGGUGGGUUGCCAUUUCCUCCUCCAGGGGAUCUUUCCCAGCCCAGGGAUUGAACCCAGGUCUCCUGCAUUGCAGUCAGAUGCUUUACCGUCUGAGCCACCAAGAAAGUAGGGCAAUUGACAAAGCAGCAUUGAUGUGUGUAUAUAUGUACACACACUGCCUGUGUGUGUGCUAAGUUGCUUCAGUCGUCUCCGACUCUUUUUAUAACGAGCAUCCCUUCUUAAAGCCCAUUUCAUGUGCCUGAAAUGCAGUGUGUCAAAUCAUCAGCACCUUGCCCCUGUCCCCCCCAAAUAUCCAGUAGGACCCACAAUCGCUGUAACUAGCCACCCAUCACCCUGUAGUUCCCUGACACUCCCUAGGGGCACGCCUUCCCCCCACAACCACCCAGGACACCCAGAUGUCCCAGAUGACGCUGGCCCUUGGGGAGCCCAGGGCUCUUUGUUCCUCAUCCACUCCCCAAGUCUCGAGCCCCUAAAACCCCGAUGAUGGUUCCCCCCACCCCGCAGAUUUCAUCCUCAGAAACAAAUUGCACGUGUGCAAGGCCCCGCAAGGCCCCAAGGAUGAAACGGACCCCACCCUCCACCUCUGCAUAGGCUCAGCUGGCCACGCCUCACAGCUUCACCACCAUCCUUAGCCAUCACCCUCAUCUCAAAGAGAUGGAGACAGGCCCAGCUAGGACUCCUAAUCCUAAGUCAGUACACCCUCCCCCUGUCUGUGUGAGGAAGGGCAGAGGCGCUCAGACCCCUACACCCCACACACACAAUGGCCGAGGGGCCCCUGUGAGCCGCUGAACCCAGGCCGCUUGCCCUGAGCCCGUGAGUCAACGCUCGGAGCAGGUGGCAGCCCCGGUGCCGCCCGGUGUCUGCUAGGUGCUGCCAUGGCCACCA